CGACCCUCCUGGGGAGGCUCUGACAUUUCCUCUUCCCUGAUGGAAGUGCAGCUGCUGUCAAAGGAAACCUCCCCAUAGUCACUCAGUGUUCCCUUUGCUUCUCAGAGUCCCAUCUGCUGCCCCUGCCCAGGAGAGCUGCUCUGCAUGGGAGGAGGAGACCGAGGGAGAGGCUUUGAAGAUGGGGCAGCUGGAGUCCCAUCUGCUGCCCCUGCCCAGGAGAGCUGCUCUGCACGGGAGGAGGAGACGGAGGGAGAGGCUUUGAAGGUGGGGCACCUGGGAUCCCUCUGCUUGGAGUUCCAUGUAGACAUGUCUAGAAGUGCACAUAGAGAUGGAUUAUCAUUUGGAUAUGUACAUAUGUGGGUCGCUAUUUGUAUAGGACUAUUUCUGUAUGUAUGGUGUUCAGGGAUGUGUGCUCUGUAUAUAUGUAUGAGUAUACAUACAUAUAUGUUUGUAAUUACAUCUACGUGUAUAUUUGUAUCUAAGUAUACAUGGAUGUUGUUAUAUCUAUGUUUAGUUCUGUUUCCUAUUUAUACAGUUGUGUUGCAAUUUAUUUCCAUUGAUGCAGCUAUAGGCAUAUGGGUCUUUAAAUAGUUAUAUUGGUAUUUGCAUAGGUAUAUAUGUCUAUUUUUAUAUUUUUAUAUGUAUACAUAUGUAUAGAUGUAUAUUUGUAUUUAUGCAUUUGUAUUGAUAUUUAUCUUGGCACAGUGAUAUUUUGUUAUUUAUAGAUAGGUUUGUGUUAUAUAUCUGUUUAUAUAUAUAGUAUAUAAUAUGUAAUAUUCAAUCUAUAUUUAUAUCUGUAUAUUUUUAUAUAUGUAUUUCUAUAUAUUUAUUUAUGUUUAUCUAUUUAUUUAUAUUUCAACAUUAUGGAGUUGUAUAGUUGUAAAAUUCUAUUGGUUCUGUGUAUAAUUGUAUGAGUUCUUGGUACACGGCUAUUUAGAGAGAGAAUUCUUACUUUUGCAUUUCUAGAUGGGCUGUAUGUUUGUAGUUAUAUGUAAUAAAUUAAGUUAUUGAAUGCCUAAUUGAUCUUUG
RNAcentral lists this long non-coding RNA (1029 nucleotides) under Zonotrichia albicollis (white-throated sparrow). Its description in RNAcentral is "lncRNA (ENSZALG00000010607.1)". The record is from RNAcentral. Lineage: Eukaryota; Metazoa; Chordata; Aves; Passeriformes; Passerellidae.